AUUGAACGCUGGCGGAAUGCUUUACACAUGCAAGUCGAGCGGCAGCGCGGGGCAACCUGGCGGCGAGCGGCGAACGGGUGAGUAACACAUCGGAACGUGCCCAGGAGUGGGGGAUAGCCCGGCGAAAGCCGGAUUAAUACCGCAUACGAACUGAGGUUGAAAGCGGGGGACCGAAAGGCCUCGCGCUCGUGGAGCGGCCGAUGGCAGAUUAGGUAGUUGGUGGGGUAAAGGCCCACCAAGCCUGCGAUCUGUAGCUGGUCUGAGAGGACGACCAGCCACACUGGGACUGAGACACGGCCCAGACUCCUACGGGAGGCAGCAGUGGGGAAUUUUGGACAAUGGGCGCAAGCCUGAUCCAGCCAUUCCGCGUGCAGGACGAAGGCCUUCGGGUUGUAAACUGCUUUGUACGGAGCGAAAGGGUCCUGCCUAAUACGUGGGGCAGUAUGACGGUACCGUAAGAAUAAGCACCGGCUAACUACGUGCCAGCAGCCGCGGUAA
This 498-nucleotide ribosomal RNA is filed under the name uncultured bacterium. RNAcentral's name for it is "bacterial SSU rRNA". It matches the Rfam family "Bacterial small subunit ribosomal RNA", at positions 29 to 523 of the family's 1533-position model. The record is from RNAcentral.